AGUGAACGCUGGCGGUAGGCCUAACACAUGCAAGUCGAACGGCAGCACAGUAAGAGCUUGCUCUUACGAGUGGCGAGUGGCGGACGGGUGAGGAAUACAUCGGAAUCUACUUUUUCGUGGGGGAUAACGUAGGGAAACUUACGCUAAUACCGCAUACGACCUACGGGUGAAAGCAGGGGAUCUUCGGACCUUGCGCGAUUGAAUGAGCCGAUGUCGGAUUAGCUAGUUGGCGGGGUAAAGGCCCACCAAGGCGACGAUCCGUAGCUGGUCUGAGAGGAUGAUCAGCCACACUGGAACUGAGACACGGUCCAGACUCCUACGGGUGGCAGCAGUGGGGAAUAUUGGACAAUGGGCGCAAGCCUGAUCCAGCCAUACCGCGUGGGUGAAGAAGGCCUUCGGGUUGUAAAGCCCUUUUGUUGGGAAAGAAAAGCAGCAGGUUAAUACCCCGCUGUUCUGACGGUACCCAAAGAAUAAGCACCGGCUAACUUCGUG
This 492-nucleotide ribosomal RNA is filed under the name uncultured bacterium. Its description in RNAcentral is "partial 16S ribosomal RNA". It matches the Rfam family "Bacterial small subunit ribosomal RNA", at positions 29 to 507 of the family's 1533-position model. The record is from RNAcentral.